Non-coding RNA from Drosophila melanogaster (fruit fly), 1422 nucleotides. Lineage: Eukaryota; Metazoa; Arthropoda; Insecta; Diptera; Drosophilidae. The record is from Ensembl.
CUUGCCGGCACCUAAAACUUGUGUUACAAUAUAUUGUCGUGCGCGGCAUUAGUUAAAGGACUAGUGAAGUGCAUUCUAACUGGGAAAAACAUAUCCAUGUCUGGUGAGUACAGUCGCAGUCUAAAUUCUGAUGAUCAAAUGGAAAAUUUCAGAGCAAGCGGAAAUAUUACCUGCCAUCUCUGUCCAUAUAAGGAGGAUCAUUCUGAUCUAGCAUGGUCAAUUCAUCGUGAGCUUUUCCUCUAGUCAUACAGCCACUAGAAAGCCCUUGAAUCGAUCGUAUUCAUACUUCCCCCAAUAUGGCAGACGCGUGUUUCGGAUCUGUGAGAUGGGAUCAGCUUAGGGCGACAUGUCUAUACAUAUUCAUCGUCUCCCCCGCCGACUGUUUGCACAUGUAAAUUUGGCGCGGCUAGAUUACAUGGUCAGUUACGUGUUAUUCGGUUAGAAUUCCGCAAAAAGAUCUUGUGCUCGGCGGCCAUGCAGCGGACUUUGAGACGAAAAAUGCAAAUGUUUGCUUUGUUGCAUUGCUUGGGUUUUUUGUCGAAAAACGCAUCAAAAGUGCAGGGUAAUGGUGAGAUUUUUAGCAGGUAAAUUAGAAUAAAGGUAGUUGAAGGGUCGUUAAUUGAGGGUAAGUAAAUCGUCAACCAAGCCGCUGUCAAAGUUCGAUCUAAUUGCUUAGCUCACAAAAAUCGACUACGUAACGUUUCAAGCUUGCACAAAUAACAAGUAAGCGUCGGGUCCUCCGAAAUAUUAAGUAUCCGCCAGGUUGCCUGCAACAUCCAGGUCUCGGUAGCCGCUUUUCCCAUUCGGGAAUUUGUAUGUUUCAGAAGUUCACGGCGCAUUUUGGCCAUUUAUUGGCCAUCACGAAGGCAAACGGAGGAAAGCCAAGUAUUGGUCAUUAUAAAUAUUUAAGAGCCCAAGAGGCAAACUGGUUUGGUCAGCCCCAUCUUCUUCUGCUUUUUACCGCAUACGUAUCCAAAGAUUGGGCUUUGUUGCUGGCAACCUUUCCGCCGCUCUCCCUCGCCGUGAUUUGAUUUGAUUUGAUUUGAUUUGUGGCUACGUUAAUUUUUGCACACUUUUCCGAUAUGAAGGGCCGGGCCUGGGCAGGGGUUAAUUAACGGACAUUCUUGCCGAACUUUGAACUGUGCAAUCAUGCGCGCUGCCAAGACGCGGCAAAAGUACCGCUCCGAUAUUUGGAUUGGCGGCAAUUAGCGCCGCACUUGGGUGUGGGUGCAAAGGCGGGUGAUACCCCCACUGGUGGAUACCAAGAAUUCGAUUCCAAAGGGCCGCUGGCCGAUCUCGCUCUCGCUCUGGCAUCCUGACGCCCGACCCGAUCGCUUCGGCUGUCAGAGCGAGAGCACACAUCGACAACCUGUUGCUCAGAACCUGUGGCUAGCGACCGAAGCUUUCGACUUCGGCUCACCU